CUUUUCUUCUGUUUUGUUUAUUAUAGGAAUAAUCAGCAUGGCAGCUAGAGCACUAGUAUGACAUAGGUUUAUUAUAAACAUAAUAGAAAGUCAGUAUUGCUUUUCUUCAGUAAUUUGUACUUUGAUGAGUAGGUAAAAAAGAGAUACUACUUUGUGCAAGAAGUAGAACAAAUUCUGAAUCUGCAUCACCACCAGUGUUAAGUUACCACAAGAUUGUCAAGGAAAGCUGUUUAUUUUGAAUAAUUCCUCCAACUGUUCUGUGUGGUCAAGUUUGUAAGGAAAAAAAUAAAGGACUGAUUUGGGGUAAAUGGAUGUCCUAGAACGUCGGAAAUUCUGGAAUUUGAUUCUGGAAAGUCUGGAUUCAACAGAUCCUGGAAAGUAGGCAUGCAGUCUUUGUACCCUGUUUCAUUUCUAAGUACAUUUUAAAUAGAGUUUGAUUCUAGGUGAGGGCCUACUUUGCCAUACAAAUAAGCUUUUCCAGUCUUAUAGAUGGGCACCUGAAAAUACUAUAGCAGAGGAAAUGCAGUGUGCUGUAGAGAAACGAAAAAAGAACCAUGAACAUUUCAUGUGUUAGCACAAAUGGUUUUGUUUAUUUUUAAACCACCCCAAAAUCCAAUCAUGCUGCAUGUACACUGACAAUACACAGGAUAACACACCAAAAGUAGGCAAGAAAGAUUCUGGUUUAGUCUGCUGGCAUUUCUUUUUUUUUUUUUCUUUUUAUCUUGCACAUCUUCUCAACUAGAUGAAAUGAUCCAAUCUAUAUGGAUUCCUAUGUCAACCCUCUUUCAUUUUCACUGUCCAUGCUGUCUGUCCACCAGGAGACAUCUGUCAUUCAUAUUACCUCCGGGGUGCUUGUCUGAAGGGUUAACUGUGUCAUUUUUUAUGUAGGUUUCUCUGGGCCUCAUUCCUUACGUAAAACGGUUUAGUGCAGAACAAGUAUAUCAGCACCUAUCUGCUUCAGCUAUAGUCUAUAGUUAGUAUGUGAGACCAGCUACUGUUAUGGGUUAUUCAGGAAAUCAAAGGUAGCACGCACACAAAAACAGAAAAUCGUCUUCCAUUUUGUUUAGAGUGUUAGUUUUCUUCAUGAUUCCAGUGUCAUUUAUUUUGCUAAGCUCUUAUGAAAUUCUUUCCACUUGUUUUCUGCUCUUAUUUUCUUACAAAACAGUAUACUAGGCUUUCUGUAUAAAACACAUAUAUAAACAUUUAUAUUUAUAUAUAUAUAUAUAAAAACCAAAGAAAUGACCCUCAAAAUGGACUUACACACGGGUAUUUACUUGUCCCUCAUUAGAAAAUAUACUGUGUGUAUAUCUAUUAAUUGUCCCUGAAUGUCAUAGCACUUGCUCUUAAAAUGGGGUCAGGAAGAAAGGAGUCUUUAUUUUUUUUUUUCCUGGUUUCUUUUCAAAUAUACAGUUAAUUUACAUAAGAGAAGCAAAAGUAGAACAGCCACAGGAACAAUCAGAUCCUGUUUACAUAUCAGCACCAUGUUGUUCUUGUUGCUGUUGUAACUACUGCUCUUCAAUCUCACUUCUAGUUACUACUUCCCAGGAAUUCAUAUAUCUACACAUUUUUUGGUUAUCCCUUCACAACUGGAUGUAGGUUCAGAGAGGACGAAACACUGGAAAAUGCAAAUAGAUCUCGGAAAUCUGGAGCUUCUUGUUCUGCUCAACAGUAUUUCUGGUCCUCUUUCUUGGAGGUCAUCAACAAUUUAGAAAAUUAUGGUUCUUUCUAUAUAACAAAUGAUUUUUAGCAGCCUUUGCUUCCAAAAGGUAUUUCUGGGAAAUGCUUAAAGAAUUUUUUUCACAUGCACUGCUGACAUUAAAUGUCAGCCUUGUAUUUAUUUCUGUAUAAAUACUUUUUUUCUGGUAUAAACCCCUAUUAAUGGUACAGAUGGAGUUUUAUCCUAAGUAUCUAUUCUUUCAGAAAGCUACUCAUCACUACUGCAUGAUGUGCUGGGAGAGCCAGCCACACUGAACACACCAGCAAAUUUCAUAGUAGUGAGAGAAGGGUUAAAUAACAACCCAAUUUAUUUAGAUCAUUCUAAUGAAUUCUUGGCCUGAAGACAUUGUAAUUGAAAGACCCCAGAUAUAAAAUAGCUAUUUAGAUUGGGUGCAAAAAAAUGGAAAACCAUAUUGAAUUACAAAACAAAGUACUUCUUGCUGGUUUACAAAGAGUCUAUAACACUGAUAAAAUCUUCAAAAACCAAUGCGUUUCCCCUCCCCCUUGUCCUUCUUUAUUUUGGCUUCAUUUCAACUCUGGAGUUCAUAUCAUCUCCUUCCAGAUCAUACUCUUCUACUUGGCCGCUGGUCCACACCUUCACGCGAUCAGUCAGGUCACUGCUUCUGGGAGCCAGGAUGAAGUCAUAGAUCAGGGCAGCACCUGCUCCUCCAAUGAUUGGGCCAACCCAGAAGAUCCAAUGAUUUUCAAAGUUGUUGGCAAUCAGUGCUGAGCCAAAAGAUCUGGCUGGGUUAAUUCCACAACCGGUGUAAUCAAUUGCAAGGAGAUGUCCCAAGGCAACAGAGAGACCAAUGGCCAGAGGUGCUGAUCCUGAGACAUCAUUCCUUCUCCGGUCUGUGGUGGCAAGAACGCACAAAACCAGCUGGAGAGUAGCAAUGAUUUCAAUUCCUAGUCCUUGGCCUGCAUUGAUUCCUUUUGCAAGCGCAUUGAGCCCCAGGGAGUUGUAGGGCAGAGAGGAGGUGACUCCGGACAGGAUGGCGGUGGCCACCACUGCCCCCAGGCACUGGGCGAGGAUGUACAUCAGCGCCUUGAAGAUGCUGAUCUGGCAGCUCAGCAGGAGGCCCAGGGUCACCGCCGGGUUCAAGUGGGCACCGCUGAUGUGGCCCACGCUCUGCGCCAUGGUCGCGAUGGAUAACCCAAAAGCCAGCGAAACCUUCACGUUGUCCUGAGUUGCUGAUGUCCCGUUGACUGACACUGGGAAAUUAAAACCCAGAGCCGAGCCAAUGCUGAUAAAAAUAAAGAGGAUCAUGGCGAGGAACUCAGCCACCACCGCCCUCCAGAACAUUUUCUUUUUGAAUUCACUGGCCAUCUCUCCUCUUUCUCUGCCCUCUUUCUCUUCUGUUUCUUUCCCCUGCCUGAUAUUUUCCCUUCGAGGUCUGAAGAGAAAGCUGGAGAAAAAAUACGGUCCUUGGAUUAUUUAUAGGGCUUUGGGUGGUCUGUAGGAGGGAAGGGGUGUUGCACAAAAGGAGGAAAGAACAUCUACAUCGAUGCUGACUGCUAGAUUGAUGUCGGAGCAAGGGCUGUCGCGGGGUCUCUGCCUGACACAGGGCUGAAAGGAGACGCGCUCCGCUGAGUUACCGCGCUCAGCUCCACAGCAGCUGGGGGACAUCCAGCAGUAGUAAACGCAGCUGACAACUACAUCUGCACUCUAGAGAUGGAAAGAUCCCCGUUUCGUUUGAAAACAGAUAGACAAGUCUCUCCGGCUGGCUCCCCGAGGACCGGGUGCAUUUUGGAUGCCAUCCUGACCACGGACGGACAGACACAGAGCAACACGCACUGAUCUGAGCUGACUGAGGCAGGGAUCGCUCCCCACCUCCGUGACCGCUGUGUAAAUCGGACCAGACACCGCAGCAAGGGGAAGCUUUCCGUGGCCGUGGGUGCCGAAAGAUAGGUUUAUUUUUACUAUUAUUUAAUGAUUUAAUUUACCUAAUCUCAGGGUUUCCCAAUCAGCAAAGCAGCCGCUCAGGGGCUCCCCAGCCCACAUCCUGCAGUGAAAGCACAGCAGAACAUCAGUUGUCACCAGCGAGACUGAAACGGGGACGGAAGGGGAGCGCGAGGGAGAAGGGGCAUUAUUACAUGCUUGAUUUUGCAGACAAAAUGAAUCACCCGACAGAGCCAGAAUAUCCUCUGGAGCAAAAGGUCUCACCGCUCCGGGCGUUAUCGCGGCAGGACGUGUGUGCAUGCCUUGGAUUAACCCUUGUGCUCUCAGAACGCUGCGGGUUGAGCGGCUGCUGAUAGCUUAUUCUGUAAGCCAGGGGGCUUCCUCGGACUUACAGCUGUGCAGCAGUCGAUCCAGAGGCAGAAACAAAGUCCCCGGGCACAAGUCUUGAAAGAAGAACACCAAAAAUCAUCCCACUCCUCCUUUUUCUUCUUCUUCCCUCGAUGCGCCGCUGCCAGAUUCUAAAUUGCACUUAAGUUAGUUUGAAGUUUUUCACUUGGGCAAUGUGUCACUACGGGAAUAAAACUAAAUACACACCUGGAUAGCAUUAGAUAAUUGACAAAUGCCUUUUUUUAAGCAUAUUUCUCUUUCUGAAGAUGAUUCAGAUUCAAGUUUGAAUAAAAAUCUGGGUAUCCUCAGCCAUUGUCCCCAUGUCAUUAUUCUUUCUAGUCUUCAGAUGUUUCUGAUUUUCUGAAUAAGUAGUUUUAUUUUGUUCUGUUUUAUAAUGUGCUUAUACAACAGCACUGCACAAAUCACACAAAAAAAAAAAGGGGGGAAGGGGGGGGAAGGAGGGGAGAAGCAGUGAAAUAGGGACAAGUUAAUUGUUGGCUUCAUCCUUCUAAUUACAGUGGAACUGCAAUGAGGCACAAAGUGACAGAUGAAUCAAAAUUCAAAUUUAGACAAGUUUCACGGUGGAAUUUUAGGAUUAAAAUGUCAAUGCUGGUUGUAUUCCGUUCAGCAGGACAUUUUGUUUACUGUUUUGCAAACUGUUCCUAAGACCUGCAGAUCAUACGUGACCAGCUUCCCUGGCCCUACCACCAGAUGCCCAAGGCAUACAUCACACACCUCCGGGAAAGAAGAGCUCUAUGAAUAGUUUACAAGAGCAAGUACUUUCCAUGCGUCCCAAAUUGGCACCUGUGGGAUGGAGCUGCCCAUCCCAUUCACUGUGUCCACAGGAAACUCCCUCUUUACUCACUUCUUCCUACAAUUAGGGUCUGGAUGACCAAACAACCUCUGUCCCAGUACUGAUAAGGUGAGAAGGAAUCCCUCAAAGGAAAAUUACUAGAAGCCAGGAAAAUGGGCUGGGGAAGUGUUUCAGACGCCUGUUUGAUUCAUUCAGUCUCCCUUAGGUAUCCCUAGGAGUCCAGUAGCAGAGAUGGGGUACAGGGCAAGCAAAACCUUUAGUCUUUUGUGAGAUAGCUUUGGCAUAUGUGGGUAAUGCACAAAUUCAGUGUUCCUCAAGAGCAAUAAAUUGCUCACCCUCCUCUAGAGUUAGUUAGUUAAUUUUCCUCCUGAGACUCUUGAUAGAUCUCUCUGCAGCUACUACCCACCCUCCAUUUCAUAUCUUGGAAUGCCACCAGAAGACAAUUAAUGAUUAACACUGUCAUACAGAUUUAGAAACAAUAUAUAUAUAUUUAUAUUUUAAGGAGCUGAAACAAAAUAAAGACAAAAAUGUUACAUAGAAACAUGGAAAAUGCACAGCUGGGGAGUUGUUAGCCAGUCUUACCUGAUGUGAAUGAUGUCAUGAUCAUUGCUGCUAUCUUGUUAACUAAUUGCUGACAUGGUGGUGAUAGCAGUACUGUGAGAAGACAUGCAGCAGACAUUGUCUUGUCAUUGUCAGACAUAGGUGAGCCACCAAGGGCAGAUGGUGUCCAAAGAACAAAUAUUCUGCACAUGAAACAGAG
Molecule: long non-coding RNA, 5577 nt
Filed under: Gallus gallus (chicken)
Lineage: Eukaryota; Metazoa; Chordata; Aves; Galliformes; Phasianidae
Source: RNAcentral